RNAcentral lists this ribosomal RNA (433 nucleotides) under uncultured bacterium. Its description in RNAcentral is "partial 16S ribosomal RNA". It matches the Rfam family "Bacterial small subunit ribosomal RNA", at positions 29 to 507 of the family's 1533-position model. The record is from RNAcentral.
AGCGAACGCUGGCGGCAGGCUUAACACAUGCAAGUCGAGCGGGCACUUCGGUGUCAGCGGCAGACGGGUGAGUAGCACGUGGGAACGUACCCUUUGGUUCGGAAUAACGCUGGGAAACUAGCGCUAAUACCGGAUACGCCCUUUUGGGGAAAGUCUUGCUGCCGAAGGAUCGGCCCGCGUCUGAUUAGCUAGUUGGUGGGGUAAUGGCCUACCAAGGCGACGAUCAGUAGCUGGUCUGAGAGGAUGAUCAGCCACACUGGGACUGAGACACGGCCCAGACUCCUACGGGAGGCAGCAGUGGGGAAUAUUGGACAAUGGGCGCAAGCCUGAUCCAGCCAUGCCGCGUGAGUGAUGAAGGCCUUAGGGUUGUAAAGCUCUUUUGUCCGGGACGAUAAUGACGGUACCGGAAGAAUAAGCCCCGGCUAACUUCGUG